This is a long non-coding RNA of Raphanus sativus (radish), 4673 nucleotides long. RefSeq lists it as uncharacterized. The transcript is spliced from 19 exons. The record is from RefSeq and is a predicted model, not a curated record. NCBI's taxonomy places the organism in Eukaryota, Viridiplantae, Streptophyta, Magnoliopsida, Brassicales, Brassicaceae.
GAAUGGCCUCAGGCCCAGAGUCAGCCCAAUCAUGGGUCCAAAUACAAAGACGAUGCAAGUGAUUGUUUUGCUAAGGCGUCAGCCUCAACAUUCGAAGAACGAUAAAAGUGAGAGAAGGAGAUUGCGACGAAAGCAGAGGAGAGUUGCUUGAUAUCUCUGAUGAUACCGAAGAUUUCCUUAACCUGCAUGUCGCAAGUGAUAGCUCGAAUGAGCGUUUCAUUGUCAGAGAAGCAUCGGAGCUUUGGAAGCCCUAAUUUCUCUGCAGAGGUGAGAGCUGAUCGGAGAGCAAUAGCUUCCGCAAUCAGAGGCGAGUUGAUCAUAUCCUGAGUAGCGUUGCCUCGUUCGAUGGAGUUUCCUGUCGAGUCGGUUAGAAUCCACGCAAAGCCGGCUCUUUUCGAUCUAAUAUCCCAUGCCGCGUCCGAUCUACAAGUCACCACCAGGGGAUCGUCUGUUGGUAGCUGCAUCUGUCUCCGAGAUUGAGGUGACAAAGAUUUGUUCUCGAAGACAAGUCUAUUCCUUGCAUUCCAAAUUGUCCAGCAGAUCCAAGGUAGUAUGGCUCCCGUCGCUCCUGUUGGUGGUAGACAUACCGUUCCUUUAAAAACCACCAUUGCAUCUGAGAAACUCUCAAUAGUAGCUAGGUGAACUACAUUAGCCAGUGGGAUCCUCCUCCACACCUCUUGGGCGAAUGGGCAAUGAAAGAAGGUUCUCUCCUAAAGGCAGAGCUCGUUGUAUGGUAGACCAUAGAAAGAGCUUCAUUUUUGGUGAACAAGCUGCUGACCAAACAUCUUUAACCCAAUUAAAGGAUCCUUGACAUGGGUUUGGACUUGUAGCUGUCUGCAAUGAUGCGGAGAAAUAUCCUGAGCGAGUAGUAUAUACUCCUGAGGGAAGUGGUUGCCAGAUGAAAGUGUCUUCUGUUUUGGCGAUGCUUGGCUGAAGGAGUUGGAUCUCCUUCGAUAGUUGAGAGACUAACGGGCAGUUCAAAGCAAGACAUGGAGAAGGUGGGGAUGGCAGUUAGCACAGCUUGUAGCAUAGUUAGCUUCCCUGCCCUAGACAAGAAGCGCGUGGAUAGACUGUUAGCUCUUUGCCGGAUUCUAUCAACCAGAGCUGUGAAGAGGUCCUUCUUCUUUCUACCGAAGUGCUCCGAUGUCUUUGAAGAGAAGCUCGAUGGUGAGGAGUAGCAGAAGAACAUUGUGUCAUCAGCAAAGAGCAAAUGGUUCACCCUCGGGCUACCACGUGCCACUCUUAUUCCUUGCAAGGUACCAUCUCGUCCUGCUUCUUUGCAUAAUCCCGAUAGAACUUGGCCACAUAGAAUGAACAGAUAGGGAGAUAGGGGAUCUCCCUGUCUAAUGCCUCUGUUAGGUUUGACCGCUCCUAGAACUGAAUCAUUAAUCAGAUAAGAGUAGGAUACCGUAGUCACGCAUUGCAUUAUUAGAUUGAUCCACUUCUCAUGGAAUCCUAGUCUCUUAAGUACUUGCGAUAUGAACCUCCAUUCGACUCUGUCAUAUGCUUUAGACAUGUCAGUUUUCACUGCCAUCGUACACUUCUUUUGCGCUUGAGAGGUCUUUAGGUACUGUAGCACUUCGUGGGUGAUUAGGAUGUUGUCUGCUAUUGCUCUGCCUGGAAUAAAUGCUGACUGGUUCUCUGAGAUAAUGUGUUGUAGAAUAGGCUUAAGUCUGAGUGCCAGCAGCUUGGAUAUAAUUUUGAAGUAGACAUUGCAUAAAGCGAUAGGACGGUAAUCAGCAACCCUUUUUGCUCCUACUAUCUUUGGAAUGAGUCUAACGUGUGUAACGUUUUGCGAGGUGCGGAGGUUUUCUGUAGCAAAGAAGGCUUUGAUCUCCCUGAUCACAUCUGAUCCCACAACUUCCCAGUUGGCAUGAAAGAAGCUCGCCGAGAACCCAUCAGGACCCGGGGCUUUGUCCGGGUGAAUGGCAAAGUGACACAGUGUUGAAGCGCUUUUUCUACUGUUUGUAGACCAUCAUGCUGCUCUGAAGUGAAGAUAUGGUCGAAAUACUUACAUAUAACACCGGCAAUCUGCUCCUCUUCGAACCACGGCUUUAAGCAGGUUUGUAUUUAUCUCAUGAAUGAGAUCAUCCUGUGGCACCUGAUUCGUCAUUGCUGCAUCUAAUUGAGAUCGAAGUGCCUCCAGUGCCUUCCGGCUGUUCUCAUGAAAGACUCUGCUCCAACUACAUAUGGCCUUCCUACAGCAGGAUAGUUUUGCUUCCACAUCGAGGAAAGUGAGCAGCGGUCUAUGAUCAGAUCCUUCAUAUCGGAGGUAUUGGCAUCGCGACGACGGGAAGGUGUCAAACCAUUCACUGUUACUUAUAGUUCGAUCCAGUCGGCACUGCACAAGGAAAGUUCUAAACGAGCAAAAAGAUCCUUCUGCUCGCUCAGGGCCUCCUUUCUUUUCACUAUUGUCGGUCAACUCGUUGAAGUCUCCAGUCAAGAGCCAUGGCUCUCCAGGCGAGGGUUGUAGAGUCGAGAGUUCAUUCCAAAUUUGAAGCCUUUUGGUAUGGUCUGGUUCUCCAUAAACGAAGAUAAGGAAGAGACCACCACCUCCCGAGCUAGUAGGGGGAACAGCAUGGUAGUUAUCGAUGGAGAGCCACUGUAAUUUGUCAAGGAUAACAGCUGUGUCGUUCUUUGUCUCCAUAAGGAAGAAGAUGUCUGGGGAGUUUCUCCGAUGAAUCUCCCUCAAACGCUGGACUGUUAUGGGGUUCCCCAGCCCACAACAGUUCCAGCUCAGAGCUACUAAGGAGCCGGGGGUGGAGGAGACCGAAAAUCCUGCUUUCUCUGAGGGCGAGAUGGAGGUUGCUUUGUCGAUGGGUUCGGUCCCCUUCUUGAAGGAAUUAACUGUAUUGCUGGAGUUUUCUCCAUUGGGUUCCUUCCUCCAAUGAGACUGGUUCCCCGACGAUCCUCUCCUACUGUCCCAGAGUCUCUUGGAAGACCUCUGUUAACUCGCUUACUUCCACAGCUGGGGGAUUGCUGGAGUUGUGAGAGCUUCCUUUUCUUUGAGCUAGCUCCGCGAAGAAUAUUGGGGGAUAAACGCGGUGGGCGAAUUCUCACUUGCUUCGGUUUCUGGGAGACUGUCUUAUUCUGAUAGGCUGAUUAUGAUAGACUGGAGGCGUGAAGUGCCCUGUCCUUUAGACAUGGGGUUUGGAGGAUUUUCCGGUGAUGACGGACCAGCAUAGUGAGAGGCAAAAACACAGGGAGCCGGUGGUGGUGUAACUUCUGCAUCUGACGGCUGCAUAGCCUCAUUGAAGUCUAUUCCAGGGGGGCUCACUGAUCUUAUUCCACGUUCCCAGGGGGACAAAGGACGUCGUUGGUUUGCAGUAGCUGCUAAGAUUGAUUCUGCCGCCCUCUCUGUUAGGCCCUCUGCAUCGCUUUCAAGGACUCUACGUUGCCUGGCUGCUGCUUCAAUUGGGUUCGCGCAACUAAGGUGGGCCAGUUCGGAGCAACAGAAGGCCUGCUGCUGUUUCCUCUGUUUGGCCUCUGGCAUCUCCUGCCAUCACCCUCUGUCUUCUGGCUGCUGCUUCUGUGGGAUCAGGAUAGUUUAGCGCUUUGAGGAUUACCAGCAAGAAUUACAGUCUGAGGAGCUAAUAGUAAAGGUUGGCCUGCUGGUUUCACUCGCCACUCACUGAGUCCCUUUUGAGGGAACAGGUGUUUCCUUUGUGCUCCCGUCUCUCUCAGUGGUUCUCUUCGUGUCGUGUACGGGGGAGAGUUGUAUUCGACUGGUCUAGGUUCCUGUUCCACUUCCUUGCGUCUCCAGUUAGUGGACUCCCCUCGCUUGGUAUCUGAUGAUCUGACCGGUGGCGGAACUCGAGUUUGCUUUGAACCUAUUCGUGCUCCAAAGUUGUUUCCAUGACGAUCCACUCUUUCGUGGAAGGCUGUCGUGUGUUGUUUACUCGAAGGAUCUGAGCGGUGAAGCUUCCUCGAAAGUAGCUACUUCCUGUUGCCUUUCCAUCAGAUAACUUGGGCAGUCCUUCUUAAGAUGAGUCAGCGAUGAGCACCAAGAGCAGUGGUUUUCUAACUUCUCAUAGUCAAGUGUUCCGAGCUCUUUUCCUACGCUGCAGACAACUUCAUCCAUCCAGAAGUGUAGUGGGAGGCCUUUGAUUCGGAUCCAGAACGGGAUCUGUGACGGGAAGGAGUGUGAGAUGACCGGCUCCCACCUCUGGAUGAUGACCAUCCAAUAAGAGAAGUGGUAUGGCCUAUUGUCGAGUACUCUGCGUGCCACUUGCGAGGUAGCGCUGGUAACAGGGCCCAGAUCUUCUGUUCCUGAAGGUUAGUGACCCUUCCUAUGAGUGUGAGCGCGUUCUCCUUGAUGAGUGCUGCGUUGUCUACGCAAGGUGCUUUGAUUCUUGUGAUGUGAGUUUGUCAAGAGAUCGUUGAGGAGAUGAUUACGGGUGCUGUUGGGGUUUUAGAAGUGAUCCUAGUGGUGUGGCUACGAAUUUGAAGGUAAAGAUCUUGGUGAAGAAGAACUUGGUUCCUUUAGGUCUGUGAAGAUGAAUGUUGGAGGAUGCUACUUCUGGACAAGAAGUAGGGCUUCCCAAAAGGAGCAAAGCAAGGACCGCUGGGUUGUUUCCAAAUUCAGUAACCUUCUGAGCUGUCGUUUUCACUUUUUUGGAGACGUUGGAGAUGCUGCUUCACUGCCUUGGUAGUCGUGCCUGGGAGAGUCCUGU